RNAcentral lists this long non-coding RNA (1095 nucleotides) under Bos indicus x Bos taurus (hybrid cattle). Its description in RNAcentral is "lncRNA (ENSBIXG00005006010.1)". Lineage: Eukaryota; Metazoa; Chordata; Mammalia; Artiodactyla; Bovidae. The record is from RNAcentral.
CCCACCUCUCCCCUCCUCUCAGCUCCCUUACCUGCAAAAUGCAACAGAUACAUAAAAGUUGGCUUUAAGAGCAAACUAUGGUUGGCUAUCCUCAUGGAAUAAUCUCCUGUCCCUCCCUCAAACCUGGAUGGAGGGGACCAUCAUGGCCCAGGGACAUUUCCUGGGGUGAAGCAGCCCUGAGGGAAGUCAGGCGGGCCUCCAUGGGGCAUCCAGGUCCACUGCAGUCACUUCUGCUUGAGGCAAACCGAGAAGUUCACCAGUAGUCCAGCUGCAGGACUCUCAGACUGUGGGAACUCGACCUUCAUUUCUUCAUCUGUGAAACGGAGCCAGCACUCCUAGAGCUGAUGUGAGAUUCAACAGGAAAGGCAUGGAUAGUGCAAGCACAGCGCCUGCCACAUGCUCAGCCCCCAUCCACAGAGGCUCUUUGCUGAGGAACCAAGCAGGACAGAGGGCCAGCUCUCCGUUGCAGACUUCUCUGAGUCGCCAAGACACUGGUUUUCUGAUAAAAGUCUUCCAUUUGGAGAGAAAAAAAUCUGUUGUCAGGUGGAGAUAAGCCAAGGUAGCAAAGGGCAGCGUGCUCUCAGCCCUUCCCACGAACUUCUGCAUCCACCUUAUGGCAGUGACCACCAAGGCUGGGCCUCCUCCUGUGGGCCCCCAGAACUAAAGGCAGUAUAUCUGGGCCCAGAGGGUGUAUGUGAUCAUUGCAGAGACGCACAGCUUGUGGCUGCAUCUGCACAGAUGUGAACAACUGGAUCUUGUUCACACUUGGAUAGAGGAUGGUUCCUGAGUAAGCAAGUGAGUAAGACCCCACCCAUCCCAUCUUCCCACCCUCAGGACGACUGUCUGAGAUAAGGAUGACUGUCACUAAUUGACAGAAGAAGGAAUGGAAGCUCAGAGGGUGAGGUCAGCAGGUUAAGCAGGGGCAGAGCCUGGAUGUGGAGGCAGGUGUGUCUGAGGGCUUCCUCCCAGCCGAGGGACCCUAAACAGAGCAGAGGGAGGGCCAUACCUGCUCAGGUGGGCUCAGCUCAGGAUGUGGACUCCUGACACAUAAGCAGCAACCCCAGAAGGAAGGUGUAUGUUCCGCAUACUCAGCCA